AGAUUAAGUUAUUAAGGGCGCACGGUGGAUGCCUUGGCACUAGAAGCCGAAGAAGGACGUUACUAACGACGAUAUGCUUUGGGUAGCUGUAAGUAAGCGUUGAUCCAGAGAUUUCCGAAUGGGGGAACCCAACAUGAGUUAUGUCAUGUUAUCGACAUGUGAAUUCAUAGCAUGUCAGAAGGCAGACCCGGAGAACUGAAACAUCUUAGUACCCGGAGGAAGAGAAAGAAAAAUCGAUUCCCUGAGUAGCGGCGAGCGAAACGGGAAGAGCCCAAACCAACAAGCUUGCUUGUUGGGGUUGUAGGACACUCUAUACGGAGUUACAAAAGAACAUGUUAGACGAAUCAUCUGGAAAGAUGAAUCAAAGAAGGUAAUAAUCCUGUAGUCGAAAACAUAUUCUCUCUUGAGUGGAUCCUGAGUACGACGGAGCACGUGAAAUUCCGUCGGAAUCUAGGAGGACCAUCUCCUAAGGCUAAAUACUCUCUAGUGACCGAUAGUGAACCAGUACCGUGAGGGAAAGGUGAAAAGUACCCCGGAAGGGGAGUGAAAGAGAACUUGAAACCGUGUGCUUACAAGUAGUCAGAGCCCGUUUAUGGGUGAUGGCGUGCCUUUUGUAGAAUGAACCGGCGAGUUACGAUCUGAUGCAAGGUUAAGCAGCGAAUGUGGAGCCGUAGCGAAAGCGAGUCUGAAUAGGGCGUUGAGUAUUUGGUCGUAGACCCGAAACCAGGUGAUCUACCCUUGGUCAGGUUGAAGUUCAGGUAACACUGAAUGGAGGACCGAACCGACUUACGUUGAAAAGUGAGCGGAUGAACUGAGGGUAGCGGAGAAAUUCCAAUCGAACUUGGAGAUAGCUGGUUCUCUCCGAAAUAGCUUUAGGGCUAGCCUCAAGUGAUGAUUAUUGGAGGUAGAGCACUGUUUGGACGAGGGGCCCCUCUCGGGUUACCGAAUUCAGACAAACUCCGAAUGCCAAUCAAUUUAACUUGGGAGUCAGAACAUGGGUGAUAAGGUCCGUGUUCGAAAGGGAAACAGCCCAGACCACCAGCUAAGGUCCCAAAAUAUAUGUUAAGUGGAAAAGGAUGUGGCGUUGCCCAGACAACUAGGAUGUUGGCUUAGAAGCAGCCAUCAUUUAAAGAGUGCGUAAUAGCUCACUAGUCGAGUGACACUGCGCCGAAAAUGUACCGGGGCUAAACAUAUUACCGAAGCUGUGGAUUGUCCUUCGGACAAUGGUAGGAGAGCGUUCUAAGGGCGUUGAAGCAUGAUCGCAAGGACAUGUGGAGCGCUUAGAAGUGAGAAUGCCGGUGUGAGUAGCGAAAGACGGGUGAGAAUCCCGUCCACCGAUUGACUAAGGUUUCCAGAGGAAGGCUCGUCCGCUCUGGGUUAGUCGGGUCCUAAGCUGAGGCCGACAGGCGUAGGCGAUGGAUAACAGGUUGAUAUUCCUGUACCACCUAGUAUCGUUUUAAUCGAUGGGGGGACGCAGUAGGAUAGGCGAAGCGUGCUGUUGGAGUGCACGUCCAAGCAGUAAGGCUGAGUGUUAGGCAAAUCCGGCACUCGUUAGGCUGAGCUGUGAUGGGGAGAGGAAAUUGUUUCCUCGAGUCGUUGAUUUCACACUGCCGAGAAAAGCCUCUAGAUAGAUAACAGGUGCCCGUACCGCAAACCGACACAGGUAGUCAAGAUGAGAAUUCUAAGGUGAGCGAGCGAACUCUCGUUAAGGAACUCGGCAAAAUGACCCCGUAACUUCGGGAGAAGGGGUGCUCUUUAGGGUUCACGCCCAGAAGAGCCGCAGUGAAUAGGCCCAAGCGACUGUUUAUCAAAAACACAGGUCUCUGCUAAACCGUAAGGUGAUGUAUAGGGGCUGACGCCUGCCCGGUGCUGGAAGGUUAAGAGGAGUGGUUAGCUUCUGCGAAGCCACGAAUCGAAGCCCCAGUAAACGGCGGCCGUAACUAUAACGGUCCUAAGGUAGCGAAAUUCCUUGU
RNAcentral lists this ribosomal RNA (1973 nucleotides) under Listeria monocytogenes. RNAcentral's name for it is "bacterial LSU rRNA". It matches the Rfam family "Bacterial large subunit ribosomal RNA", at positions 1 to 1972 of the family's 2925-position model. Lineage: Bacteria; Bacillati; Bacillota; Bacilli; Caryophanales; Listeriaceae. The record is from RNAcentral.